This 492-nucleotide ribosomal RNA is filed under the name uncultured bacterium. Its description in RNAcentral is "partial 16S ribosomal RNA". It matches the Rfam family "Bacterial small subunit ribosomal RNA", at positions 29 to 507 of the family's 1533-position model. The record is from RNAcentral.
AGUGAACGCUGGCGGUAGGCCUAACACAUGCAAGUCGAACGGCAGCACAGUAAGAGCUUGCUCUUACGGGAGGCGAGUGGCAGACGGGUGAGGUAUACAUCGGAAUCUACUUUUUCGUGGGGGAUAACGUAGGGAAACUUACGCUAAUACCGCAUACGGCAUGCGGGUGAAAGCAGGGGAUCUUCGGACCUUGCGCGACUGAAUGAGCCGAGGUCGGAUUGGCUAGUUGGCGGGGUAAAGGCCCACCAUGGCGACGAGCCGUAGCUGGUCUGAGAGGAUGAUAAGCCACACUGGAACUGAGCCACGGUCCAGACUCCUACGGGAGGCGGCAGGGGGGAAUAUUGGACAAGGGGCGCAAGCCUGAUCCAGCCAUACCGCGUGGGUGAAGAAGGCCUUCGGGUGUUAAAGCCCUUUUGUUGGGAAAGAAAAGCAGCAGGUUAAUACCCCGCUGUUCUGACGGUACCCAAAGAAUAAGCACCGGCUAACUUCGUG